Long non-coding RNA from Canis lupus familiaris (dog), 2901 nucleotides. RefSeq lists it as uncharacterized. Lineage: Eukaryota; Metazoa; Chordata; Mammalia; Carnivora; Canidae. The record is from RefSeq and is a predicted model, not a curated record. The transcript has 8 exons.
AGCCUUAGAGGACAUAGUCCUUUGUGGACACUGUAUCAAAUUCUUUUAGCAGCCAGCAGGAAUACACAUCAUAAAUAUGCACAGAGCUUGAAAACAAUAGGCACCUUUCGCUGCCAUAUAGUGAGGACACUCAAGCAGCCUGCUGAAGAGGUCUACACAGCAAGGAGCUGAGGCUUCCUGCCAGCCGCCAUGGAGGAAGCCACCUUGGAAGUGAUUUCUCCAGCCCUGGUCAGGCCUUCAGGCUGUACUUGACUGCAGUCUUGUCAGAAAUCUUGGGCUGGAACCAUGUGGCCAAACUGCUCCUGGAUUCCUGACUCUCAGAAACUAUCCAGCUGAGCAUCCUGUAUUUGACCCAACAACUCUACCUUCCCAUCCUUUAAGACUUGGAAUAACACUUCCUUCAGAGAGGCUCCUGGAUCCCUCGCCGCCCUCUCUAGUUCUCCGAAGGCACCUGGCAUCCUUAUCAUCACAGCACAGAGUCUACAUAGUGUUAGAGAUAGCUGGGUGCAUGUGUGCUUCCUCUCCUGGACUUUGGUUUCCAGAGGUCGGGGAGGAAUAUUAUCUCUCUUCUUCCUCCUCCAGAAUACAGUAUUUGCAAGCACCAGAGCAGGUGCUGUUGACACCCGCUUUUCCAGCAGGCUCCAGAGGGAAAUGGUUUGUCAAAGCCUAUCAGUGAGGACCCUCCUGGCUUCCUGAACCAGAUCUUCCUCAAAACUCAAAAAGGACUAUUUUUGAACUCUGAAAAAGAACAUCGAGUUCUCUUUCCUCUCCUGCCUUGGCAGGCUUCACUCAAUUUGUAAUUCCACUUAGGAUGCAGAGCGAUCGCAGCACACAUCCUGGGCCUCUCCAGCUGCCAACUGCUUCGCUGGCUCCGGGCAGACAGCAGGAAGGUGUUUCCUGCUUCACAGAAACAGCUCCCCCUCUCCUCUCCGGACAACGGAAGGGUACGGUAUCAUGAGCAGAUAAUAAUGAUUAGCCACGCCAACAAAAAUAAAGAGAAAUAGUUUCAAGAAAUCAACACAGAAACUGAGCACGAUAUUGCAGUUCUAUUUUGGCGCAGGGACUGGCGGUUCUGACAGCGGAGUCAUUCGAUAAUCCCUCUGAGCCGCCUAAUGAGGGCAGUGACAUCACGGAGGGUGAUCAGAGGACAAGGCUGGGAUUAAAAAGAGCUCCAGGGUGAGUCAGUGCAGAGAUGCUGGACAGCGGUGUCACCCACCCGCCUCCCUGCUGCACAGGUUAACUGGAAGUCGGCGGGACCCCCCGAUCGGGGAGAUGGUUUGCUGGAAAUCUAGGAGCCAAGUGAGGACUCUAAUAGGUCUUCUGUGCUUUUAAUAAAACCUAUCUUGAACCACAAAGCAAACCAGGGAAGAUCCCCGAGUCCAGCUUUUUGUGUCCAUCUGGGUGAAGUACUCACUGCUUCUGGACUUCACAGGGAACAUGCAAACCUUUCCCUCUCAGCCCCGACGCCCUGCAGACCACUGCCCUGAGCCCUUUUCCAAAUGUUCUGGCUCCUGAGGAACGGCUGUUUGGACUCGGAAUCUAGGCAUUGGCUCUCCCCACCCUGCGCUCCUUGGGCCGCCGCAACCUGGCUUGGGCACCAGGCCCGCCCCUCGUGCUACGAGGCUUCCCGCUGUCCCUCCCCUCAUGUCCCGCUCCACGGGAGAGCCACCCCUUCUCACUCCCCAGCACAAAUGCCGCCAGGACCCCCGCACUACGCCCAGGAGAAGCCAGAAGCUGUGAGGAAGCAGAAGACAGCUGCGGGCAGCUGCGGCCUCCAGCGCUGCGGCCUCCCUGGCCUCUGGCCUCACACAGCCGUGGGUCCCCGGCCAGCCCUGACCCCCCAUUCUGUCUUCCUAGCUCUUGCAUCAGGCUCUGCCUGUCUUGACUUGGUUUUUGGACUCUAGGCCAUGUGUGGCUUACUGGCCCCCACGGUGACUAGCUUUGCCCCAUUUCUACUCUUCAUCUCUCAAAGGCUUCUACACGGGCCACGGCGCUUGCCUCCGGAGCCCCAGGCACCCACUUGAAGGUCAUGCUUUCUGCCUGGAGCUUGACAAUGCUAACGACACCACAAGGCCUCUGGUGUAGACCUUUCUGCAUUACUGAAGACUGUCAAGUCCAACUGGCCCCUCCUGGGUGGCCCACAGGCACCCCAAACUCCAAAGAUCCCACAAAGAACUCAGUACUUCCUCUAAAACCGCAACGUCUCCCACUGUUAUGGGCUGAAUUGUGUCUUCAAAAUUCACAUGUUGAAGUCCUUACGCCAGCACUUCAGAAUUUGUAAAUGCCUUUAGAGAUAAGGUCUUUAGAGAGGUGAGUAGGUUAUAGGAAGGCUGCUAAGUUGGGCCCUAAUCCAAUCUGCCUGGCAUCUUUAUAAAAAGAUAUCAAGAGACACAAAGGCACACCAGGGGACAUAACCACUGAGGGACACAGUGAGCUGUGGUCAUCUGCAAUCCCAGGAGAGAUGGCUCAGAAAAAACCAACCUGCCAACAUCUUGGACUUCUAGCCUUCAGAACUAUGAGAAAGUGGCUUGGGCAAGAUUUGAUCCAGUGGCUGGUAGAGGACCUAUGCUGGCCCUCCCUGGGAUGUUUCCACAUCUCUCUGGUAUUGGCUCUCAUGGCAACAACAGAUGGCUCUGUGGAGUGACAGGUGCCUCCAGCAAAGGCAGUGGCUCGAAGAUACAAAAGGGGCUUUGGACUUCUUCCCUUCCUUCAUCUUACUAGUUGGAAUGUGGAUGUGAUGGUUGGAGCUUCAGCAGCCAGAUGGACCAUGAGGACAAGGACAUACUGCCCGGGGGGGCAGAAUGAAAAACUGGAAAGGGUCUUGAUGGCUAAUGCCAGGGAAGAUCCCUUACCAGCCCAGAAUGCCUAGCCUUGCAGCUAAAUGAAAGAAAGUUAAACCUU